GUUGAAGAACGUAGCGAAAUGCGAUAAGUAAUGUGAAUUGCAGAAUUCAGUGAAUCAUCGAAUCUUUGAACGCACAUUGCGCCCGCCAGCACUCUGGCGGGCAUGCCUGUUCGAGCGUCAUUUCAACCAUCAAGCCCCCAGGGGCUUGUGCUGGGGCCCUGCGGCUGCCCGCAGGCCCUGAAAACCAGUGGCGGGCUCGCUAGUCACACCGAGCGCAGUAGCACAUCUCGCUCAGGGCGUGCGGCGGGCUCCUGCCGUGAAACCCCCCACUGUAACCCCAAAGGUUGACCUCGGAUCAGGUAGGAAUACCCGCUGAACUUAAGCAUAUCAAUAAGCGGAGGA
Molecule: unclassified non-coding RNA, 342 nt
Filed under: soil metagenome
Description: partial contains 5.8S ribosomal RNA, internal transcribed spacer 2, and large subunit ribosomal RNA
Rfam family: 5.8S ribosomal RNA (bases 1-120)
Source: RNAcentral